Long non-coding RNA from Culex pipiens pallens (northern house mosquito), 159 nucleotides. RefSeq lists it as uncharacterized. The record is from RefSeq and is a predicted model, not a curated record. The transcript is spliced from 2 exons. NCBI's taxonomy places the organism in Eukaryota, Metazoa, Arthropoda, Insecta, Diptera, Culicidae.
UUGUCCAUCAUUCAUUGAUGACAUUUAUUUGGAAAUAACAAAGAUGCUUUUCCUUCCGUCGGAAUUCUUUCUGGAAUGUGCGCUUUGGCCAGGCCGAAGUGAACUAUGAUGCUGAUGAAGACCGGAUCAGAUCAGCCGGCUAGUCAAGACCUGUUACCA